AAGUAUAUCUUACGUGAUGGUUUUUGGAAACCGUGUUGGGGAAACCCAUGACGUAAUGCCAGAUUUUUUCAGCGCUAUAUAAACAGCUCAGUACACAUUAUUCAUCAAACGUGCAGAUCCAUAGUGAUAAUUCAUAUUCAUAUACACAGAAAGCAACUGACGAAUUAAACAUGUGCAACGGCGAAAAGGCAGUAGCGGCGGCGAUGGCAGAGCGGCGUGGUCAGGGGACCAGCAGAGUUCCUAUUCACUUCCUGUUACGUCACUUCGGUGGCGUCUGUUGGAGUUAGGGAGCCAGACUGGAUUACACUAGGGUUUACCCUAGCAACCGAUGACGACAACUAUCAUCCACAGAAACCGAGUCAUCAAAACUUUGUCACGUGAUAGUCUGUCUUGUUGUUAUCAUGAUAACAACCAACAUGCAGUAGUUUUUAUAUAACAAAGUUGACAUGGUAUUUGUGUAAUGUAUAUUUAACAUGUAAACAGAUUAGUUUCAAAGUAUUGUUGUUGUCAUCAGUUUUUUAAUAAAUGUAUAUGCAUAUAAAAA
This is a long non-coding RNA of Dreissena polymorpha, 544 nucleotides long. RefSeq lists it as uncharacterized. Lineage: Eukaryota; Metazoa; Mollusca; Bivalvia; Myida; Dreissenidae. The transcript is spliced from 3 exons. The record is from RefSeq and is a predicted model, not a curated record.